GUGGGGAAUAUUGGGCAAUGGGCGAAAGCCUGACCCAGCAACGCCGCGUGAGGGAAGAAGGCCUUCGGGUUGUAAACCUCUGUCCUUGGUGACGAAACAAAUGACGGUAGCCAAGGAGGAAGCCCCGGCUAACUACGUGCCAGCAGCCGCGGGAAUACGUAGGGGGCGAGCGUUGUCCGGAAUUACUGGGCGUAAAGGGUGCGUAGGUGGCCUUUUAAGUUGGAUGUGGAAUACCCGGGCUUAACUUGGGGGGUGCAUCUAAUACUGGAGGGCUAGAGUGCAGGAGAGGGAAGCGGAAUUCCUAGUGUAGCGGUGAAAUGCGUAGAUAUUAGGAGGAACACCAGUGGCGAAGGCGGCUUUCUGGACUGUAACUGACACUGAGGCACGAAAGCGUGGGGAGCAAACAGGAUUAGAUACCCGAGUAGUCC
RNAcentral lists this ribosomal RNA (428 nucleotides) under uncultured bacterium. RNAcentral's name for it is "partial 16S ribosomal RNA". It matches the Rfam family "Bacterial small subunit ribosomal RNA", at positions 354 to 796 of the family's 1533-position model. The record is from RNAcentral.